AUUGAACGCUGGCGGCAGGCCUAACACAUGCAAGUCGAGCGGAUGAAGGGAGCUUGCUCCUGGAUUCAGCGGCGGACGGGUGAGUAAUGCCUAGGAAUCUGCCUGGUAGUGGGGGAUAACGUCCGGAAACGGGCGCUAAUACCGCAUACGUCCUGAGGGAGAAAGUGGGGGAUCUUCGGACCUCACGCUAUCAGAUGAGCCUAGGUCGGAUUAGCUAGUUGGUGGGGUAAAGGCCUACCAAGGCGACGAUCCGUAACUGGUCUGAGAGGAUGAUCAGUCACACUGGAACUGAGACACGGUCCAGACUCCUACGGGAAGCAGCAGUGGGGAAUAUUGGACAAUGGGCGAAAGCCUGAUCCAGCCAUGCCGCGUGUGUGAAGAAGGUCUUCGGAUUGUAAAGCACUUUAAGUUGGGAGGAAGGGCAGUAAGUUAAUACCUUGCUGUUUUGACGUUACCAACAGAAUAAGCACCGGCUAACUUCGG
Molecule: ribosomal RNA, 483 nt
Filed under: uncultured bacterium
Lineage: Bacteria
Description: partial 16S ribosomal RNA
Rfam family: Bacterial small subunit ribosomal RNA
Source: RNAcentral